CACACUGGGACUGAGAUACGGCCCCAGACUCCUACGGGAGGCAGCAGUGGGGGAUUUUGCACAAUGGGCGCCAAGCCUGAUGCAGCGACGCCGCGUGAGGGAUGACGGCCUUUCGGGUUGUAAACCUCUUUCGCUAGGUUGGAAGACGCUUUUUGGAGUUGUUGACUUUAACUGGUAAAGAAGUACCGGCUAACUACGUGCCAGCAGCCGCGGUAAUACGUAGGGUACUAGCGUUGUCCGGAAUUAUUGGGCGUAAAGGGCUUGUAGGUGGUUUGUCGCGUCUGUCGUGAAAACCCGGGGCUUAACUCCGGGCUUGCGGUGGGUACGGGCAGGCUUGAGUGCGGUAGGGGAGACUGGAAUUCCUGGUGUAGCGGUGGAAUGCGCAGAUAUCAGGAGGAAUACCGGUGGCGAAGGCGGGUCUCUGGGCCGUUACUGACACUGAGGAGCGAAAGCGUGGGGAGCGAACAGGAUUAGAUACCCUGGUAGUCCACGCUGUAAACGUUGGGCACUAGUUGUGGGGGCUUUUGUUGGUUUCCGCGACGUAGCUAACGCAUUAAGUGCCCCGCCUGGGGAGUACGGCCGCAAGGCUAAAACUCAAAGGAAUUGACGGGGACCCGCACAAGCGGCGGAGCAUGCGGAUUAAUUCGAUGCAACGCGAAGAACCUUACCAAGGCUUGACAUGCACCGGACGACUCUAGAGAUAGGGUUUCCCUUUGUGGCUGGUGUGCAGGUGGUGCAUGGUUGUCGUCAGCUCGUGUCGUGAGAUGUUGGGUUAAGUCCCGCAACGAGCGCAACCCUUGUCUAGUGUUGCCAGCAAGUAGUGUUGGGGACUCUCUAGAGACUGCCGGGGUUAACUCGGAGGAAGGUGGGGAUGACGUCAAAUCAUCAUGCCCCUUAUGUCUUGGGCUUCACGCAUGCUACAAUGGGCGGUACAGUGGGUUGCAAUACCGUGAGGUGGAGCUAAUCCCCAAAGCCGUUCUCAGUUCGGAUCGUAGUCUGCAACUCGACUACGUGAAGGUGGAGUCGCUAGUAAUCGCAGAUCAGCAUUGCUGCGGUGAAUACGUUCUCGGGUCUUGUACACACCGCCCGUCACGUCACGAAAGUUGGUAACACCCGAAGCUCAUGGCCUAACCGCG
Molecule: ribosomal RNA, 1136 nt
Filed under: Gleimia coleocanis
Lineage: Bacteria; Bacillati; Actinomycetota; Actinomycetes; Actinomycetales; Actinomycetaceae
Description: bacterial SSU rRNA
Rfam family: Bacterial small subunit ribosomal RNA
Source: RNAcentral